This 427-nucleotide ribosomal RNA is filed under the name uncultured Acidobacteriota bacterium. Its description in RNAcentral is "bacterial SSU rRNA". It matches the Rfam family "Bacterial small subunit ribosomal RNA", at positions 958 to 1385 of the family's 1533-position model. The record is from RNAcentral. Lineage: Bacteria; Pseudomonadati; Acidobacteriota.
AACGCGAAGAACCUUACCUGGGCUUGAACCGCACAGGACCAGUCUGAGAAAUCAGGCCUUCCCGCAAGGGACCUGUGUAGAGGUGCUGCAUGGCUGUCGUCAGCUCGUGCCGUGAGGUGUUGGGUUAAGUCCCGCAACGAGCGCAACCCUUACUCAUAGUUGCUACCCGCAAGGGAGAACUCUAUGAGGACUGCUCCGGAUAACGGAGAGGAAGGUGGGGAUGAGGUCAAGUCAGCAUGGCCUUUAUGUCCAGGGCUACACACGUGUUACAAUGCGCGCCACAAAGCGUUGCAAACCCGCGAGGGGGAGCUAAUCGCAAAAAAGCGCGCUCAGUCCGGAUUGCAGUCUGCAACUCGACUGCAUGAAGCUGGAAUCGCUAGUAAUGGCGCAUCAGAACGGCGCCGUGAAUACGUUCCCGGGCCUUGUA